This 471-nucleotide ribosomal RNA is filed under the name uncultured bacterium. RNAcentral's name for it is "partial 16S ribosomal RNA". It matches the Rfam family "Bacterial small subunit ribosomal RNA", at positions 355 to 817 of the family's 1533-position model. The record is from RNAcentral.
UGGGGAAUUUUGGACAAUGGGCGAAAGCCUGAUCCAGCAAUGCCGCGUGUGUGAAGAAGGCCUUCGGGUUGUAAAGCACUUUUGUCCGGAAAGAAAUCCUUGGCUCUAAUACAGUCGGGGGAUACGGUACCGGAAGAAUAAGCACCGGCUAACUACGUGCCAGCAGCCGCGGUAAUACGUAGGGUGCAAGCGUUAAUCGGAAUUACUGGGCGUAAAGCGUGCGCAGGCGGUUUUGCUAAGACCGAUGUGAAAUCCCGGGCUCAACCUGGGAACUGCAUUGGUGACUGGCAGGCUAGAGUAUGGCAGAGGGGGGUAGAAUUCCACGUGUAGCAGUGAAAUGCGUAGAGAUGUGGAGGAAUACCGAUGGCGAAGGCAGCCCCCUGGGCCAAUACUGACGCUCAUGCACGAAAAGCGUGGGGAGCAAAACAGGAUUNGAUACCCUGGUAGUCACGCCCUAAAACGAUGUCAACU